Long non-coding RNA from Bradysia coprophila, 718 nucleotides. The record is from RefSeq and is a predicted model, not a curated record. NCBI's taxonomy places the organism in Eukaryota, Metazoa, Arthropoda, Insecta, Diptera, Sciaridae.
CGGUGUUUAUCCCGACUGCAUUUGCAACAAUGAAUUUGCAUAUUACGAAAAUAUUACCAAUAAUUGUCGCACUUGUCCAGACGAAACAAAACGGAUCGAAGGAUUUCCCUACUGUACAUGUCUCGAUGAAAACUCAAGCUUCGUCCCAGAAGUUGGUUUUUGUCGCAAGUGUCCAUAUGAUUCGAUCGGUAAAUAUCCGAAUUGUACCUGCAACGAACGCGAUCAUUUGUUUAGUGCUUAUCGGAACUUUUGCUACCCCGACUGUCUUGAACCGUCGAUAACUGGCUUGGAAUUUAAUAUGACGAAUUGUGUGAACCGAUAUGCCUAUCCGGGACGUCAAUGUCCUCCGAAUUCGAUUGGAACCAGUCCCAACUGCAAAUGUAUUGAGGACGGUAAGACAUUUUAUACGUACGGCUGGGGCUGUCACGACAUUGGUGACAUAGCUUUCGGCCUUCAGUAUUGUCCCAACAAGAGGGAGAAGUGGCCCCAGUGUAGCGUAUCAAUUGAUCCGAAAGUAACGCUUAGCUUAAUUGGAUAAUUUGGACUAUCUUGACCUACAACUGUGAUUACCGUUAUUCAAUUUUAGGUUAAGCUUCAAACAAUUUGUUGUUCAUUUGAGUAGCUUUGUGUGCUCGAAUGAAUAUGACGGAUAUAGUUCUUAAAGUCACUGAAAACGAUGUCAUGAAAAUCAAUUCAAAUAAACUUUUUACGUCUUAUA